Molecule: ribosomal RNA, 256 nt
Filed under: uncultured bacterium
Lineage: Bacteria
Description: partial 16S ribosomal RNA
Rfam family: Bacterial small subunit ribosomal RNA
Source: RNAcentral
UACGUAGGGUGCGAGCGUUGUCCGGAAUUACUGGGCGUAAAGAGCUCGUAGGUGGUUUGUCGCGUUGUCCGUGAAAACUCACAACUCAAUUGUGGGCGUGCGGGCGAUACGGGCAGACUGGAGUACUGCAGGGGAGACUGGAAUUCCUGGUGUAGCGGUGGAAUGCGCAGAUAUCAGGAGGAACACCGGUGGCGAAGGCGGCAUCCUGGGACCAAGUAUUGACGCUGAGGAGCGAAAGCUAGGGGGAGCAAACGGG